GCUUGAGUUUUAAUCUGAGUUAAAAUGCAGCCGCUUUGGGGAAGAACCCUACUUUGUGCUGUUACCUGUUGUUAGUUCAACGGGGAUGCGGAAUUUGGGGUGGAUGCCGAGCGCUGGGAAGGAAUAUGCCCUCGUUCCCCCAUCUCCAUGACUACCACUGAAGGAAGGAGGCUGAGGGCAGAUAUGUGUGCAGGUCUGCUGGUGUCACUAGAGAGGAAGGAGACCGCAAGAAGACAGCGGCCGGGGGGAUCUAGGAGAUGGAAAGGGUCCUGAAAAAUUCUAAUCUGGAUAAUCUCUGGAUACUGGACAAUGAAGCCCAGGUGUGCUCUAAAAAAAUGGAGCAAAAUUUGGUCCAACUCAUGCCAAUUGUGUUCAACAGUUUAUAGGAUAAGUAGAUCCUUUCAGGCUGUCAUAGUUCAAGCUCUUGGAAUGACCAGUAAUAUAUACUUAAACAUAUGACAAAACUUAAGGGAAAAGAGGGCCCAAGGCAUGCAGGGGAACUGAGCAUAAAGGCCAUUGUAUUUCAUGUAUGACUUGACUGUGUUUCAGUAAAGCAAUUUUAGCUCUAAAC
RNAcentral lists this long non-coding RNA (571 nucleotides) under Homo sapiens (human). Its description in RNAcentral is "HSALNT0392336". Lineage: Eukaryota; Metazoa; Chordata; Mammalia; Primates; Hominidae. The record is from RNAcentral.